Molecule: long non-coding RNA, 703 nt
Organism: Eriocheir sinensis (Chinese mitten crab)
Lineage: Eukaryota; Metazoa; Arthropoda; Malacostraca; Decapoda; Varunidae
Exons: 5
Source: RefSeq, a predicted model, not a curated record
GGCAGCAGCCUCCCCCCGCAGGGCCGUCACCAUGCUGGAGUAGCGUCGCCUCACACCCUCGGCCUCGCUCACACUCACGCCCACACGCUCCAGACCGUUCUCCAGUCCAAUGAGCUCCUGGGCGGGGAAGAAAUCAAGUUGAAGAGCUCCUGGAUGCUCGCCUGCUCAAGCUGUGCCCUGUCUGACGUUGCCUCUCCCAGCAGUAUCUUUAGGUUCUGCAGCCGCUCCUCUCGCUAAGGGAAAGAAAAAGAAUGGCCCCCCCUGCGCUGCUGCUGCCCCGAGCCUUCCCCCCGCCACUCCCUGCACUCCCUCGCUGCAGCAGCACUCGCUCGACGCUCCGCUCGCUGCCCUGGGGAAGAAAAAAUGGAAGAAUUGAGUCUGGUUAAGGUAUUGUGCCAUGAGGUGGCCAGGCAGACUCACCUGGCUGGCUUCCUGUAUUCUGAUGUGAAGGAGCUUAAUGUCCGAUCGCAGGCUUGUGAUGGCUGCCUUGUUGGUCCUCUUCUCCGCCUCGCUCUCCUCAUAGAAGGCCUUGCUCUCCCCCUCUGUCGACGGUCAUCACAUGGGGUCCCGAUGACGCCCCCGCGAAGGGCUCCACCUUCCACUUGUCUAAACUGUCGUACCGCCUCAGCCGGGCACGUGGUGAUAAAUUUCAAGGCUCACCUGAAUCUCUAGCAGUCACUUGGGUUUCAUUAUUUCCUUUAUA